GUGGGGAAUAUUGGACAAUGGGCGAAAGCCUGAUCCAGCCAUGCCGCGUGUGUGAAGAAGGUCUUCGGAUUGUAAAGCACUUUAAGUUGGGAGGAAGGGCAGUAAGUUAAUACCUUGCUGUUUUGACGUUACCGACAGAAUAAGCACCGGCUAACUUCGUGCCAGCAGCCGCGGUAAUAUGAAGGGUGCAAGCGUUAAUCGGAAUUACUGGGCGUAAAGCGCGCGUAGGUGGUUUUGUAAGUUGGAGGUGAAAUCCCCGGGCUCAACCUGGGAACUGCCUCCAAAACUGCAUGACUAGAGUACGGUAGAGGGUAGUGGAAUUUCCUGUGUAGCGGUGAAAUGCGUAGAUAUAGGAAGGAACACCAGUGGCGAAGGCGACUACCUGGACUGAUACUGACACUGAGGUGCGAAAGCGUGGGGAGCAAACAGGAUUAGAUACCCGUGUAGUCC
Molecule: ribosomal RNA, 450 nt
Filed under: uncultured bacterium
Lineage: Bacteria
Description: partial 16S ribosomal RNA
Rfam family: Bacterial small subunit ribosomal RNA
Source: RNAcentral